RNAcentral lists this unclassified non-coding RNA (278 nucleotides) under Chytridiomycota sp. RNAcentral describes it as "partial contains small subunit ribosomal RNA, internal transcribed spacer 1, and 5.8S ribosomal RNA". The stretch from base 1 to 47 matches the Rfam family "Eukaryotic small subunit ribosomal RNA", at positions 1785 to 1831 of the family's 1831-position model. Lineage: Eukaryota; Fungi; Chytridiomycota. The record is from RNAcentral.
AAAGUCGUAACAAGGUAACCGUAGGUGAACCUGCGGUUGGAUCAUUAAUGAAAUUUGGGUUGAGUGGCUGUUGCCCUCGAUCGUCAACACCUUGUGAAUUGUAAUUGUAUUUGGCAAGUGAUGCAGCAGUUCGCUGCAGAAUUUCGCCCCCCUCCCCUCUUGAGAGGGUUGGGGGGGAAAGCUUGUCCCUGUAUCUAGACAAUAUUAUAUAUUUUAAUCCUGAACAAUAAAUCAGCAAAAUACUGAAACAACUUUUGGCAACGGAUCUCUUGGCUCUC